RNAcentral lists this ribosomal RNA (773 nucleotides) under Vibrio sp. RNAcentral describes it as "bacterial SSU rRNA". It matches the Rfam family "Bacterial small subunit ribosomal RNA", at positions 43 to 794 of the family's 1533-position model. Lineage: Bacteria; Pseudomonadati; Pseudomonadota; Gammaproteobacteria; Vibrionales; Vibrionaceae. The record is from RNAcentral.
UGGGAGCCUACCAUGCAAGUCGAGCGGAAACGAGUUAUCUGAACCUUCGGGGAACGAUAACGGCGUCGAGCGGCGGACGGGUGAGUAAUGCCUAGGAAAUUGCCCUGAUGUGGGGGAUAACCAUUGGAAACGAUGGCUAAUACCGCAUGAUGCCUACGGGCCAAAGAGGGGGACCUUCGGGCCUCUCGCGUCAGGAUAUGCCUAGGUGGGAUUAGCUAGUUGGUGAGGUAAGGGCUCACCAAGGCGACGAUCCCUAGCUGGUCUGAGAGGAUGAUCAGCCACACUGGAACUGAGACACGGUCCAGACUCCUACGGGAGGCAGCAGUGGGGAAUAUUGCACAAUGGGCGCAAGCCUGAUGCAGCCAUGCCGCGUGUGUGAAGAAGGCCUUCGGGUUGUAAAGCACUUUCAGUCGUGAGGAAGGUGGUGUCGUUAAUAGCUGCAUUAUUUGACGUUAGCGACAGAAGAAGCACCGGCUAACUCCGUGCCAGCAGCCGCGGUAAUACGGAGGGUGCGAGCGUUAAUCGGAAUUACUGGGCGUAAAGCGCAUGCAGGUGGUUUGUUAAGUCAGAUGUGAAAGCCCGGGGCUCAACCUCGGAAUAGCAUUUGAAACUGGCAGACUAGAGUACUGUAGAGGGGGGUAGAAUUUCAGGUGUAGCGGUGAAAUGCGUAGAGAUCUGAAGGAAUACCGGUGGCGAAGGCGGCCCCCUGGACAGAUACUGACACUCAGAUGCGAAAGCGUGGGGAGCAAACAGGAUUAGAUCCCUGGGUAAAU